AUUUCUUUCAAUCAUUCAUUUUUCUACAUCCAAUAUAGUAAAAAUCUCUCUUAAUUUUGCCAAUGGAAGAAAAACAAAAAACAAAAAACCGCCGGUCGCCGGAUGGCACAAUGUUAUUCGAAUUCCUUCAUACAAAGACGUUCCCGGCGCCGACAUCGGAGGGGGAAAAAGCGAGGAGAAGAAGCGCCGCCAUGAUUCCAACCGGAAAGAAGAGAAACACAAGCGGUGGCGGAGGCAGCGGCGGAAGAACCAAGGGCAGAACGACCAUGGAAACCGCAACGGCGGCGAGGACGAAAACGGACACUAAGUUGAAGCAACGUACCAUAGCAAUUUUCUGGCAGCCGGAGAUUGGAUCAUGUCCUUCAGCGGCGGGAAUGCGUGUGAAAAGAAUCCGGUGACGACGGUGGCAAUUUUGGAUCGAAG
This 423-nucleotide unclassified non-coding RNA is filed under the name Hevea brasiliensis (rubber tree). Lineage: Eukaryota; Viridiplantae; Streptophyta; Magnoliopsida; Malpighiales; Euphorbiaceae. The record is from RNAcentral.